AGCUGCCUUAAAGGUAAAGCUACCCCAUGACACUCAGUUUGUACUUUUAAUAAAUACUUCCAAGCAGGUUGAAGGACAAUGUGAUUUAAUGCACAAAGCUAACUCGAGCACAAUGCAUAAAACUUGGGGAACUGAAGGAUUGCCACAAUGACAGAGAGCUCAGGACUGUUUGCAGAAGGACAAAGGGCGCCAGGAGAGAGAAAAAUCCACUCAGAGGAGAUGAGCCACUAAUGGUUCAGUGAUCAGCACGUGAUAAGGAUUUGGUUGACUGGUUGACCAUGCAUCUUAAUGUUGGUCUCCCGAAAGAAAAAAAAAAACACUCAGACUUCAUCCCUUUCUGGGAAAAUCUCAGAAAAAUUCUACGUCUCAAGGACUGCUUCCUGAAAAUCCCCUUCCCAGAAACCUCUUCAGCAGUUGAACAUCUAAAUUCUGAAUAUGUAACAACACAUCACAGAGAAAAAAACUGAGACUGCAUGGCCUCAGGCUGAAAAAACUGUAUAAAACUCGGCACCCCAACAGACGGUUGGUGAACUUGGGGGAAUUAGUGCGGCAGAGACUCGUUCAGGGCUCACCCAGCACCGACCCCGGGCUCAACAUUUGCCUUUAAUUGUGGCUGUCCCCAAAUCUAUUUUUGCAAAUUUAUCAAUAAAAAUUAUUGAUAAAAUUUAAUUGAUUUAUUUUUAACACUUUUAGUUUAGACUUUUUACAUUUGAAACUAAUGCUGACUCUCAUUAUUAGGUUGCUGCCUUUUGAACCAGGUUUUACAGGUUGGAGAAAGACCACUUUUACCUUACAAAGAUGUUCUGUUAAUUACACUUCAUGGUUUGGUCAAGGAUUUCCACAGUCCAAUGAAUUGUAUUCCCAUACUAUAAUAAAAUGUGUAAAAAUGCUGAAAUAAUACUCCCAAAAGAAAAUAAACUCAGUGUUGUAUACAGUGCUAAUAUUAGCAUAUUAUUUCCCAUACUUUCUUGUCCUUGUGUAAUUCAUUUAUGAUUUAUUUUGCCAAUGUCAUCCUCUCUCUAUCUUGAUUUGAUAUAGUCUGUGGCCUUCAAGUUACAGGAAAAUCCCCCAGGAGAAUUGGCACACCAAGAUUCAUGUCAGAGAACUCACAAAUGUGACUCAGUGCAGUAACUUCAGUACUAAACUCCUUUUAGAGUUGAGAUUCCACCAAGUGUAACUUGGAAGACAGAAAAAAAAGAGAAGAAAAAAAGGAGAAAAGAUAGAA
Parus major (Great Tit) is the source of this 1225-nucleotide long non-coding RNA. RefSeq lists it as uncharacterized. The transcript is spliced from 2 exons. The record is from RefSeq and is a predicted model, not a curated record. Lineage: Eukaryota; Metazoa; Chordata; Aves; Passeriformes; Paridae.